UCAGUAGGAGAAGCUGCCCGAGUGUCGUUUUCUCCCUGGUCAAUUAAGAUACGGGCUGCAAAGGUAAUAGAGGGAGACAAGCUGGCUUUUAAAGCCGCUAUCAGAUAUUGUUAGCGAGGAUGGUGUGAGCAACCCCGGUUUGCAAACCCAGUUGCUGGCUGGUGCCGGAGGGCUGCUAGAGCCUCCCAGAGCCCUCCAAACGCUGCUCCGCGCAGCCAAACCCAGAGUGCCAGGAAUCAGAUGGAGCGAGGCAGCAGGUACGGCGAAGAAAUCCGAGAUAAUGAUUUUAUUUGUUCAGGAUAUUUAAGUUUUUUAAAUUGGCAAAUUAAGACAACUUAAUUAGUUAACAACACACUACAUUUGCUCAGCCCGUGUGUCUGAAGAGCUGGCAUCAUUAAAAUAACACCUGUGGAUUAUGUCUAAUUACCGAAUUUUUUGAGAAAGAGGUAUACAUUUUAAUUUUCUGCCUUUUAAAAGUGAAGUCAGAGUUUAACAAGUUGAUAUUUAUGAGAGAGGAGAUUUUAAUUUGUAACGCGAGCAGCGGGUUGUUUUGCUUUUUUGCUUUUUUUUUUUUUUUUUCCCCUUAAUAGCCACAAGGUGGCACAGCCCGCCCGCAGUUCGCCCCGAGCCGCGCCGGGGAUGGGGAUGGGGAUGGGGAUGGGGAGUGGGAUUGAGACGGGCAUGGGCACGGGCCGAGAGCGGGGCAUGGCUCGGGGCCGCUGCAGCCAGGGCGGAGAGCAGCGUAAAAACAAGCAGGAGAAAUGGCCAGCGGGGAAAAGGGUGAUAGAAGCAAGAAGACCCCUUCAGGAUCCCAUAAUGGACUUUUUUCAGUGGAACUCACUCUGAAAGUCGCAUCCAACUCCUGAAAUGAAAUGCGGAAUAUGGACCACCUUGCUGUAAAAGCCACUAUUCCAACUUUUAGCUCCUCCAAAUGCUGUAUAUUUUUAGUUUGGGACCCUACACCUACUGCAUAAACUCUGGCUGGAUGGUGUGCUGUAUGUUACCAGCAGGGCUCAAGGCUGCGAGGCAAAAAUGCCCACAACCUUUCUUUUGCCUACCUGCUCUCUGACUCUCUCUCAGGCUUCAGCAAUUAUGUACCUCAGAGUCUUCACACCAGUGGAGAAAAAGAACCUUCUUUAAACAGUUUUGCCAUCUGUGAGGUCUGUUUAAAAGUCAUUUACCUCUGCUGUUCUAAACCCAUCAGCUGUUAUGCACAUGGAUAAUUUUAUGGACUGGGCUAUACCCUUGAAUAGGUAGAGACACACUCUGACAGUUAAGCUAUGUAAAUGCCGAGCUGUUUGCAGCAAGAAGGCUUUAGCUUUUAAGAUUUUCUGGCAGAGACUAUGCAAAAUGGAUGGUUUUUUAUCGUUCUCUGCCCAUGCCCUCCAUUCAAUUGAACAUCCUACUUGCCCCAGAUUAUAAAUGUUCACCUGGCACAGUGGUGGAUACACCUCACUCAGGAGCCAAGUGAAUGUGGCACCAGGAGUCUUUGGAUUAUGGAACACUAAUGAGCUCAGGUGCAAUUGGAACAAAUCCAGAAGCUAUGGGCGGACACAAGGAAAAUUAAGGAGUGGGAAAAUUCUUGUUUGGUCUUGUUAUUAUUAAUGUGCAGACAGAAACGAUAUGUGUCUGUGACAGUUGUAUUGGUGUUUAUCAGCAAGGCAAGUGUUUUUAAAAAAUAUCAAAAAAUGGCAUUUUCUGUUCAUAAAAUCAUAUAAAUUCUAUCUAGUUUUUAUGGUAUAUGUAAAUUAUGUUUUGGAUUUGAUAUAAUCUACAAAAGUAUGAUUAAAUCUUUUUCUGUUUUAUUUCAUUCUAUCAUCCAUGAUAAGAUGACAUCCCUGAACUGAAAAGCCAUAUUAAUUAAUAAAUAGUCCAAUAUUUACAAUAACUUCUUUGAAAAAGAUGGGUUUUAUCCAAACACUGAAGCAAAAGCUUCAAUAGAAUUUCUUUUUCCUGCAAAUAGGAUAGUUGCCUUUGGAAUUUGCAGUCUCCACUCAGUGCACACCUUUUCCACAAAGCUGUAUUACCUCCUACACAGCUUUGCUCUCAGGACCUGCCUUUCAUCAGUUGUUCUUCACUCUGCAUUUAUCUUUCCUUCCUUUAGUUACAGCACUAGAGCUAGAUCACCCCCUCCAGAGACAAACCCAACAUCUAUAGGAUGAAUGUCUAGCUGGGGUCACCCUGCACAGUGCUCCCAGCAUCUCUCCAGGCAGGGUGGUCCAUGCAAGGUCUAUAUUUUUAUUCCUGCCUCUUUGUGCCCAUUUGUAAGACUGGAGAUUGGCAGGCUUCAGGGAAAAGAUAAUACAGCUUCAGUUUGCUGUUUCCUAGGAGAUUCAGUCUAGAGCAAUAAGGGCUGCUGAGCCUCUUUGGAAAUCAUGAUCCCUGGCUGAACCAGGAAGACCUGCUCACACAUGGCUCCCCCUUAGAAAGCCUGGCACUGCUGGGGCUGCCUUUAGGGGAUGCCCUGGUGCUCAGUGUAUCCUGCUGAGACAGCUGAACUCUUCAGGCAUGGACCAAGGUCUAUUCAGGAGAGAAAAAAGCAGAUGAAUUCCAGAUGAAGCUGGAAGCAGUGACUCUAGCUUGUGAUAAAUAUACAGCUAGAGCUGAGCCAUACUUGGUCUGUCUGAAAAAGGUAUUAGAAAUGGCCCAAUAAAACCUGAUAAUCAUACAUUAGUUGUAUAUGAAGAUUAAGGACACCUUUUGUAUUAUAUUUAAAUAUAUGGAGAUGAAUGAAAAAUAUAGACUGGCCUUUGAAUUAGCAAGUGGAUUGCAUCUAACUGAACUUUGAUAACUGAGUUUGUCUAAAGAGAUUGUUUUAGCACAUAAUAUACUUGGACUCAAUGUGCAUGGAAAAUAAUUGCACAAUGGCAAUAAAAGGUAGAUUAGCACAAGAUCGUAGUGUGUGAACUACAAAAAUUAUUCUAAAGUAAAAAUAAGUCCUUCGCUGUAAUUCCUUCAGAAUCAGAAUCGGAUUAAAUGUUAUAGAAAGUAUCAGCAAUAUCUCAAAUACAACAUACAGGAAAGCAUUUAUGUUUUUUCAAGAAAUACAAAUGUAGCAGACAUUGACAAUAUGGAAGGUGAUCAGAAUAUCACAUGGGAAGAAAUGGAUAGGCUUUAGAACUGGGACAGGGUAUGUGAUUUAAUUAGUUUGAAAUACGAGGUAAUGAACAUAGGGAGCAAUGAGAAUUUCUUCAAUCAGAAGGCUCACUGGUUGAAACAGGAAGACUUAGGGGUAUUAAUCAGUCAAAGAAUUAUUAUGCACCACCUAGGUGCAUGUAGCAGUAAAAAAUGGAAAUAGAAUUCUCAGAUGUAUCCAGUGAGGCUUUUGCAAAACGAAAACAUUAAGUAUUAAUUAUAAGUUGCACUGUUGAGACAUUAUCUGGUACGGAGUUUAGAAUUCCAGUCAUAAAAACUCAACACAUUAAACUCCUAAUGGAGCAAGUGGAGAGAGGAAAAGAGUUAAUAGCAGUGCUGCAGGAACAGAAAGCCUGUUUUAUGGUUAAAUCUUAUCAAAAUUUUUAAGGUAAUGAAAUAAAAAUCAAGAGUACGUUUGGUCUAUUUGUAUAAAGAUAUGAUAGAAGCAGAUAACAGAAUGCUCAUUAAAGCUAAGGGACAAUUUUGACCUAAAUAAGACAUAAUAAAUGUGGUAUUAAAAAUGGAAAAAAAGAUGUUAUACAAAAAUCUUAGUAAUAGAAGUAGUGGUGCCAAAAAACCUGAAUUAGUUUAAAUCCUUAAUGUUAUCAGUGAAAAGGACUUGAUAAUGAGAUUGAUUAUGAUGAAAGAAAGCAGGAGAUGGAAAAGUGUCCCAGAACAAGAGAAUUCAUGUUGAAGUUGAGAAAAUGAAGCCAAAAAAAAGUGGUUUUACUAAGACCUACCUUGUCCUUAUGCAUAUAGACCUGGGCUGUUGAAAUCAAAGUAAUAUUUACCUGGACAAAGCAGCAAACAAUGAGCAAUGGGACUCAAACUUGCAGAAGACUAAGUAAGAGAAAGGAUAAAAAUGCUUAAGAAAUUAUCCAAUGGGAAAUUUUCACUAUGGUUUACUAUGUGCACAUCAGUGACAUUAUGAGUGUAUACCUGUAUGUAGAUCUCCCUCUGCACUGCUUUACUGACCUAAGCUAAUUCUCAGGGCCCUGUGGGCAUCAUUCCCUAUCCAGGGGGCCAGCUGCCUGGUCGGAGGGCUAGCACACAGCGUCUAUGUUCCCACUUUGCUGGCCUGGCUGAGGCACCCUGCUCUGUCACCAUGCUGGGCAGGACACUGCCCCGUUCCUGCCCUGCCACCACCCAACCUCCUGGAUCCCCUUCCCCUGCAAGUGGCCUGGUUGUUAGCAACUCUGACAGUAAACUACUUUCAUAAUCUGGUAUUGCUUUGUCGAGGGGAAAGAUAUUUUCUUUUCUGGGAACCUAGGAACCUUGAAAGAACCUUGUUGUUCUUUCUGAUCUGUAAAUUCAAUUUGAUCAUUUGUUGAGGGGCAUCAGGAGGACUGAUGAGCAAGGAGUCUGGAUCUGACUAGGAUAUGCAGAGAAACCCAGGAGUUGGGAAGCACUCUGGAAGUCUGUUUGGUAGCUGCCUGCCAGGUCAAUACUUGAUGUCUUCUGUCAAUAGCAACCCAUAAAAUAUCGAAGCACAUGAAAUCCAGAUGGUUUCUUCUGAGUCUUCUGAGCAUGCAAUCUGAACCAGUUAGGAUCACUGGAGACACAAGUACUUCACAACACAAUAUGCUGAAACUCUCCCUGGCAGAACAUGCAGAAGUUCUGAAAACAAUCUGAGUGCUGAUAAACUGCUGGUAGAUAUAUCAGGGUUAGCAGAGGACUGCAAUUCCUCUACAGUCCUGAGAGUUGCGAUGGUGUGUGUCCUGUGUAUUUUAAAUUUUGGGUUGAAUAUUCCACAUAGAUCUAUUUGGUCCAGGCUCCCCUGCAGUGGCACUCUUGUUUCACUAAAAGCAGUACAGAAAUCAUUCACAUUCCUAGGUAAUUUCCCUUUGUGCUGUUGCACAAAGGAGGGAAAAGGAAUUAAUUUUCCUUUACACCAAACAAUGCUUGAGACCAAUGAACUUAAAGAUAUUUUUUUGCUUCCUCUUUCUCUUUUCCCUCCUGGAGUGUAAUAAAAGAAAUUGUAUUUUUGCAAAUAAACAUUGUAUUGCUAUAGCAUUUUCCCAGUCCAAAGCUUUUUCACUGAGUGCCAUUUUCUUUUUUUUUUUUUUUUUCCAGUGAAGACCUAUGUGAUAAUUCUGGUACUGUAUUAGGGACCCCCCAGAAUUUCUGUAUGUGGACUACAGUAAUGGGUUCCACAUAGACCAAAGAAAUUCUAUGCAUGCAGGAAAUGUUUCAGUGCAUUCUCCAAAAGCAAAGUCUCUUCUAAAUCAAAAGUUACAGAGUUGUCAGAAAAGAAACUUUUACAAAUCAAUGUAUUUAAUUUUUCUGAAGUCACACUUGUUAGCAUGUGAGUAUAUUCUUCUGUAUUUACUUGAAUGCACUGAUCGUAUAUUAGUAUUUGAUUUAUGUUAAUGAAGAUGAUAAUUGGAUGAUAGUGAAAAAGAGAAGGGGAGCCAACAUAAAUCGCUGCAGGGGAAGCAAAAGAUCAAGAGGGUUGGAUCCAUUUCCUGUUAAGUUCCUCGGGAGUGUUUCCAUUAAUUUCACUGAGCUUUAGCUCUUGUCCUUAGUGAAAAAAAAGAUACUGAGGUUCAUUAGCAGCCUUUAUUAAAUAAAACUUAUUACCAUAAAAAGAACAUUCCCACCUUCCAAAGAGCUAUGUGGAAAGAGAAAACAGGAAUUUCUUGAAGGUUAUUGUGAGGUUUUUGCUUAGUAUUUUGUUGGUUGGGUGAGUUUUUUGUGGAUUUCUUUUUUUGUUUUUUUGAUUGCUUGUUUGCAUGUUUGGUUGUGUUUUAAUUUGUUUUAAUGCAAAUAUUUUGAAACCAAAUUCUUUUUCCUCAGAAUUGCAGAAAUGCCUGUGUUGCAAAGGGUCACGCGCUUUAUUUACCUGGGUAAGAAUAAGAGGCUAUGAAGUUCCCAUGAGCUGAAGGAAGGACUCAAGUCGUGUUUCUACCUCCUGGACCUGAUUUCAUAGUUAAUAUGUUCCCUGACACGUUACUUGACUAUCAACGUGGGUGUGGGUAUGAUCGGGAGCAGCCGUGGGUGUGAAGGACAGAGGAGCCAUUCCAUUCACAAGAAGAGAUCUUCCUCACUGUGGGGAUGCUGACUUUGCCUUGGCACUUCCCCUCAUGGCCAGAGAACAGUUUGAUUCAUUUCAUAUACUAGUAUAGACACGCCCUGUGAGUUCUGAAAACUAAGCAUUUUACCAUUUAGGAGGCUUUUCUGCAUUCUUGCUGCCAAAACUCCUGCUUGUUUUUAAAUUGGCGUAACAUUAAUCAUUUCAAGAUAGGAAAUGCUUUGCCAGAACUGAAGGUAGUGUCCUCUGACACAGCGCUGAUUAUUUAUUUUGAAUCAUUUUCAACAUCGCUUCUUCCGUCUUCUGCUAUGUCAGCCUUUACAAAGUGUCAUUUUUCUAAUAAAUUAAUUUAUUAUUUUAAAUUCCCUGAAGUAAAAUACGAAUAGGGUAGAAUGAAGCAGACAAACAAACAAACAAGAAAGGAUGAAAAUUGAAAAUUGUUUGAGAAUACAUUUUGAAGUAAAUGGAUUUUAAAAUACCCUCUUGCUCACUUGUAAAGCAGUGACAGCCCCAGUAUCUCAACAAAUACAGAGCAAUUCAUGUUGUAAAAUAACAGUGGAGUUUUUAUAUCUUCUAGGUUCAUGGGUGGAAAGGGGGAUCUGCAUGAUGAGGAGUUUCAGGGUGUAGAGAGAGGGACUCUGACCUGAUAUUACCUCUCAUAUUACAUGCUGAAGCAAUAGUUUCUAGCUACUGGCAAGGAAAACAGAUGAGCAAAUAUUCUGUGUCUUGAAGUUAAAUGCAUUGCUGCAGCAACAACCCUCUCCAGCUUUCCAGCCACCAUGAAUCCUGAGCCUACUCUUAAACUGGCAGCAGGAGAAAUCUUAAUUUGGUACACCACAAAGAACAAUAUAUAGAAUCUGGACUCAGAGAUUAUUUCCUACUUCUGUACCCAUUGCAGAAUGGAUCCGGUUGGACAGGAGCACAGGAGGUCAUCUGGUCCAACCUCCCUGUCCAAGCAGGACCAUCCCAGAGCACAUGGCAUGGGAUUGCAGCCAGAUGAUUCCUGAAUAUCUCCAGUGAGAGAGACUCCUCAACCACUCUGGGAUUCUUUUUUCAGUACAUGGACACCUGCACAGUGAAGAAGUUCCUCCUCAUACUCAGAUGGUGCUUCCUAUGCAUCAAUUUCUACCUAUUGUCUCUUGUCCUACUGCUUGGCACCACCAAAAGAAAUCUGGUCUCAUCCUCUUGGCACCCAGCCUUCAGAAACUGGUAGAUAUUGAUGAGAUCCCCUCUCAGACAUUUCUUCUUGGUGCUGAACAGGCCCAGCUCCCUCAGCCUUUCCUCACAGGAGGGAUGCUCCAGUCCUUUAUUCAUCUCUGUAGUCCGACACCAGACCUGCUUCAGGAGCUCCAUGGACUGAGGAGCCCAGAACUGGACACAGCACUCCAGAUGUGGCCUCAUCAGGGUUGAGUAGAGGGGCAGAAUUUCCUCACUUAGCCUGCUUGCAUGAGCUUCCUAAAAGAAGAAAUUCUUAUUCAUGGCUUGUAAAAGAAAGAAAUUGUUAAAAAUUUUACUUCAUAGUCAAAUGUAAAGAAAAAAUCAAGAUAUUCUGGUUAUGCUGCAAAACGGAACUUGACUCCCUCUUACUGGUAGGGCAGUGUCUGCUGCUCUCAAAAGCAUGGCUUCUUUUACACUAAGCAGUAAUUUUGUAGUCAAAAAGCUACAAUAAACCUCCAUCAGCUUAAGCACUCUAAGAUUCUUUUCUUCACAUUUUUUGCUUUCUUUUGCCUUUGGAACAUUGCUUCCUAGUUUGCAGAGUAGCUCAACUCUGUCUACAAAAGAGAUAGAAACAAAUUAAAUAUGUAGAAGUACCUUACGUAUCAUGCAGGGUUUCAACACUCUUUAAUAAAAAAAGCUUAAUUAAACCUGUCUCACUUCUAAGACAAGUUUUGCUGUGAAAAAUGUUGCUCUCCUAAGUAAGUGUCUGGGUGGUUUUACUUUCCUUUUGGUUCUCAAUGUUUGCUUCCUUCUCAAAAGUGUUGUGAUGUUAAAUUUAUUUUGUAAUCAGCUAUAAAAGUAUGUUAUUAUUGAAUAGAAAAAAAUGGAAAUUUUCCAAUUCUGGAAUUGAAAAUUUUAAACUGUAAGUGGUAAUGUUUCUUUGAGUUGCAGUAAUUCACUUGUGGGAAGAAAAAAAAUUCUGAGCUCUAUGUAAUAUUCUGACAUUCGCAUUUAAUAAACUAAUCAUAAAUCA
Taeniopygia guttata (zebra finch) is the source of this 8357-nucleotide non-coding RNA. The record is from RefSeq and is a predicted model, not a curated record. NCBI's taxonomy places the organism in Eukaryota, Metazoa, Chordata, Aves, Passeriformes, Estrildidae.